RNAcentral lists this ribosomal RNA (444 nucleotides) under uncultured bacterium. RNAcentral describes it as "partial 16S ribosomal RNA". It matches the Rfam family "Bacterial small subunit ribosomal RNA", at positions 354 to 796 of the family's 1533-position model. The record is from RNAcentral.
GUAGGGAAUAUUGGGCAAUGGUCGGAAGACUGACCCAGCCAUGCCGCGUGCAGGAAGACGGCUCUCUGGGUUGUAAACUGCUUUUAUCUGGGAAGAAAAAGGCCAUGCGUGGCAAAUUGCCGGUACCAGAUGAAUAAGCACCGGCUAACUCCGUGCCAGCAGCCGCGGUAAUACGGAGGGUGCGAGCGUUGUCCGGAGUUAUUGGGUUUAAAGGGUGCGUAGGCGGCUGAUUAUGUCAGCGGUGAAAGACUUCGGCUUAACCGGAGCAGUGCCGUUGGUACUGGUUGGCUUGAGUGUCGGAGAGGUACAUGGAAUUGAUGGUGUAGCGGUGAAAUGCAUAGCUACCAUCAGGAACACCGAUAGCGAAGGCAUUGUACUAGCCGACAACUGACGCUGAUGCACGAAAGUGUGGGGAUCGAACAGGAUUAGAAACCCGUGUAGUCC